This 225-nucleotide ribosomal RNA is filed under the name uncultured Rhodobacter sp. Its description in RNAcentral is "partial 16S ribosomal RNA". It matches the Rfam family "Bacterial small subunit ribosomal RNA", at positions 568 to 792 of the family's 1533-position model. The record is from RNAcentral. Lineage: Bacteria; Pseudomonadati; Pseudomonadota; Alphaproteobacteria; Rhodobacterales.
CACGUAGGCGGAUUGGAAAGUUGGGGGUGAAAUCCCGGGGCUCAACCUCGGAACUGCCUUCAAAACUCCCAGUCUUGAGGUCGAGAGAGGUGAGUGGAAUUCCGAGUGUAGAGGUGAAAUUCGUAGAUAUUCGGAGGAACACCAGUGGCGAAGGCGGCUCACUGGCUCGAUACUGACGCUGAGGUGCGAAAGCGUGGGGAGCAAACAGGAUUAGAUACCCGUGUA